RNAcentral lists this ribosomal RNA (301 nucleotides) under uncultured bacterium. Its description in RNAcentral is "partial 16S ribosomal RNA". It matches the Rfam family "Bacterial small subunit ribosomal RNA", at positions 509 to 807 of the family's 1533-position model. The record is from RNAcentral.
CAGUCGCCGCGGUAAUACGGAGGGUGCAAGCGUUAAUCGGAAUUACUGGGCGUAAAGCGCACGCAGGCGGUCUGACAAGUCAGAUGUGAAAUCCCCGGGCUUAACCUGGGAACUGCAUUUGAAACUGUCAGGCUGGAGUCUUGUAGAGGGGGGUGGAAUUCCAGGUGUAGCGGUGAAAUGCGUAGAGAUCUGGAGGAAUACCGGUGGCGAAGGCGGCUCACUGGUCCAUUACUGACGCUGAGGUGCGAAAGCGUGGGGAGCAAACAGGAUUAGAUACCCCGGUAGUCCCUGUCUCUUAUAC